UACAGAGGUCCCGAGCGUUGUUCGGAUUCACUGGGCGUAAAGGGUGCGUAGGUGGUGAGGUAAGUCGGAUGUGAAAGCUCCAAGCUCAACUUGGAAAUGGCAUUGGAAACUACCUUGCUAGAGGGUUUGAGGGGGGACUGGAAUACUUGGUGUAGCAGUGAAAUGCGUAGAUAUCAAGUGGAACACCAGUGGCGAAGGCGAGUCCCUGGAAAACUCCUGACACUGAGGCACGAAAGCGUGGGGAGCAAACAGG
Molecule: ribosomal RNA, 253 nt
Filed under: uncultured bacterium
Lineage: Bacteria
Description: partial 16S ribosomal RNA
Rfam family: Bacterial small subunit ribosomal RNA
Source: RNAcentral